Molecule: ribosomal RNA, 250 nt
Filed under: uncultured soil bacterium
Lineage: Bacteria
Description: partial 16S ribosomal RNA
Rfam family: Bacterial small subunit ribosomal RNA
Source: RNAcentral
GGCAGGAUCAAAAGUGGUGCAUGGGUGUCGUCAACUCCUGUCGUGAAAUGUUGGGUUAAGUCCCGCAAAGAGCGCCAACCCCGUCGCAUGUUGCCAGCAUUUACUUGGGGACUCAUGCGAGACCGCCGGUGACAAACCGGAGGAAGGUGGGGAUGACGUCCACUCAUCAUGCCCCUUAUGUCCAGGGGUACACACGUGUUACAUUGGGGCGUACAGAGGGUUGGUAUACCGUCAGGUGGAGCGAAUUCCU